Molecule: non-coding RNA, 105 nt
Filed under: Halalkalibacter krulwichiae
Lineage: Bacteria; Bacillati; Bacillota; Bacilli; Caryophanales; Bacillaceae
Description: Bacillus krulwichiae SAM-I sequence
Rfam family: SAM riboswitch aptamer (S box leader)
About the family: The SAM riboswitch is found upstream of a number of genes which code for proteins involved in methionine or cysteine biosynthesis in Gram-positive bacteria. The SAM riboswitch acts at the level of transcription termination control. The predicted structure consists of a complex stem-loop region followed by a single stem loop terminator region.
Source: Rfam by way of RNAcentral
UUCUUAUCAAGAGAGACGGAGGGGAUGGCCCGAAGAAGUCUCAGCAACCAGCCAAGUUUGGUCAGGUGCUAAUUCCAUCAAGUCAUGAGACUUGAAAGAUAAGAA